RNAcentral lists this long non-coding RNA (857 nucleotides) under Gossypium barbadense (sea-island cotton). RNAcentral describes it as "long non-coding RNA (GBAR_LNC005812)". Lineage: Eukaryota; Viridiplantae; Streptophyta; Magnoliopsida; Malvales; Malvaceae. The record is from RNAcentral.
UAAAAUAUAAUUUUUAAAACAUAAUGGAUUUACAAAUCUCAUAUAUACGUGAAUGUUAUAGCCCAAUUUUACCCUAAACCCAUUACAGUUAAACCCAGCUAACCUAUCAGCCCAAUAACCUAAAUACAUAAACCCCAAAUAACCCAAGGCCCAUUACAACUUAAAACCGGUUGGCCCAAAACCAACUUAAUACCCAAGCCCAAUUAACCCUUUGGCCUAACUAGGGUUUCAGAAAAGCUGAAACCCUAGCCACUUUCUGAGAACCCCAGCGCCGCAAUGUCCCAUCCCUACUUGCCUCUGCCAAGUCGGCCAACUGCCCCACCGCCACUGCACCGCCGCCAUGCUGGUCACGUCCGCCACCUGCUCCAUCUGCAAGACCAAGCAAUCACGCAAACAAUAGAUUUAGGCAUUGUAAAGGCUAUAAAAAGCCAUGAAAACCAAUGUAAAAGGAUUCGGCAAUCUUAAUAAAAAAUAGAUUUCAAUAAUUAGAAACACAAAAAAAUAAUUUCAAUACAUAUGCAAAUAGUGGUUUGAAGGAAGAAAUAAUACAAGAACAACACCAAAACAGAGAUCCCAAAAGCGAGAAUCAAAAUCGAGAAACCUAAGGUGAUCUUUUUCUUAUUUUAGUUUUGAUUUUUUAGGCCUAUUUUAUACAUAUAUAUAUACUAAAAAAUAUAAGAAAAUAAUAAAAUAAACAACAAUAAAAAAGGGAGAAAAUUUUACCUUUUUCGAAAAUCUGGCCACCGUGUACUGUGGCCGGCACCGGCGACGGACGGCGGCCGGUGAGGGUCCGGUGACCGGCCCAUGGCCGGAUCCCUUCCCUCCCCCUCUCCCUCUUCUCUCCUUCUUCUCUCCCC